Molecule: ribosomal RNA, 253 nt
Filed under: uncultured bacterium
Lineage: Bacteria
Description: partial 16S ribosomal RNA
Rfam family: Bacterial small subunit ribosomal RNA
Source: RNAcentral
UACGUAGGGUGCAAGCGUUAAUCGGAAUUACUGGGCGUAAAGCGUGCGCAGGCGGUGAUGUAAGCCAGUUGUGAAAUCCCCGGGCUCAACCUGGGAACUGCAUCUGUGACUGCAUUGCUGGAGUGCGGCAGAGGGGGAUGGAAUUCCGCGUGUAGCAGUGAAAUGCGUAGAUAUGUGGAGGAACACCAAUGGCGAAGGCAGCCCCCUGGGUCAACACUGACGCUCAUGCACGAAAGCGUGGGGAGCAAACAGG